This 1114-nucleotide non-coding RNA is filed under the name Drosophila virilis. RNAcentral's name for it is "Eukaryotic large subunit ribosomal RNA". It matches the Rfam family "Eukaryotic large subunit ribosomal RNA", at positions 2039 to 2790 of the family's 3401-position model. Lineage: Eukaryota; Metazoa; Arthropoda; Insecta; Diptera; Drosophilidae. The record is from Rfam by way of RNAcentral.
UAAACAGGGUAGGUGGUGGUUUUCCAAAUUUUUUUUUUUCCACCCCCCGGUUUAAUUAAGGGGGCAUUUUCCCCCCCCUGGGCCCUUUUAUACCCCCCCAGCGAAUUGUAUAAGGGGUCUUUCAGGCCCGCCAAAGGCUUUACCAAAGCCUUGGGCCAUAAAUGGGGAACCGGUUGGAUUUUUGGAGAGCCAGCCGGGUUUAUGUCCUAUUUUUGGUUAAACCAUCGCGGGUUUAAGAGUCGAUUUAGUUUGAAGGCUCCAAUGCGGGUAGAGCAUCGCUCGACGUGGAGUUGCGUCAUACAACCGGGUUCCGUGACCCAGAUUACGGAAGAGGCUUAGAUAGUCCUCGUGCCAAACCAAGGUAGAAGUCACAACCAAACAGUCGUGUCUUUAAUUGGUACCUGCGGAAUUGUUCCAAGGGGGCGGUGAUUGACGCUUGAAUUAAUCCUAUACUAGGAACCGUGAGAUUAAGCCAUCGCGGCAGGUGCUCACGUUAAGCCCACUGACUUUCAUGUCCCUAUCUACUAUCUAGCGAAACCACAGCCAAGGGAACGGGCUUGGAAUAAUUAGCGGGGAAAGAAGACCCUUUUGAGCUUGACUCUAAUCUGGCAGUGUAAGGAGACAUAAGAGGUGUAGAAUAAGUGGGAGAUAUUAGACUUCGGUUUGGUAUCGACAAUGAAAUACCACUACUCUUAUUGUUUCCUUACUUACUUGAUUAAAUGGAACGUGUAUCAUUUCCUAGCCAUUAUACGGAUAUAAUUAUUAUGUCUUAUGGUAUUGGGUUUUGAUGCAAGCUUCUUGAUCAAAGUAUCACGAGUUUGUUAUAUAAUCGCAAACAAAUUCUUUAAUGAGAGAAUGCAUUUAUGUAUUAUUGAUUUAAAAAUUUGGUAUAACUCCAAUUACUCAGGUAUGAUCCAAUUCAAGGACAUUGCCAGGUAGGGAGUUUGACUGGGGCGGUACAUCUCUCAAAUAAUAACGGAGGUGUCCCAAGGCCAGCUCAGUGUGGACAGAAACCACACAUAGAGCAAAAGGGCAAAUGCUGACUUGAUCUCGGUGUUCAGUACACACAGGGACAGCAAAAGCUCGGCCUAUCGAUCCUUUUGGUUUAAAGAGU